Molecule: small RNA, 4222 nt
Filed under: Staphylococcus aureus
Lineage: Bacteria; Bacillati; Bacillota; Bacilli; Caryophanales; Staphylococcaceae
Description: HMPRNC0000_0875
Source: RNAcentral
AUUCCUUCAUAGCUAAUCUUAGUAUGUUUAUUUUUAUUUUAGGAUGCUAUUUAUCAACUCAACAUAUAACUCACUAUUUUUAUAACCUUCUAAUAUAUCAUUAACUUGUCUAAUAGGUAUUUCUGGUACUUCUCUAAUAUUUUCCAAUUUUGUUUUAAAUUGUUUUUUUGUUAUUUGCUCUUUAUUUGUAGCCAAUUGGAACAAGUAAGAAUCUAGCAUAUUAAUUUCUUUAUAUGAAUACAUAUAUCUUAAUAACACUAAAUCUCUAGUUUUUAAGUUAGGCGCUAGUUCUUCUUGUAAUUGUUCUAUUGAUUGUUUCAUUAAUAACAAUCUCAUUUCUAAUUCUUCAUUAUUCAUUUUAUCACACUCUUUUUAUAUUAAUGCUUGACCAACUUGGGAAACCCAAAACCCUAUGCUUCUUGCAGUAGAAUCUUUAAUACCAGUUCCCAUCAAUGCUUGUGAAACUUGACCUUGUACAUUUCCCCAUGUAGCCUCUUCUUGUUUUAAUGCAUUAUUCAAUGCGGGAUUUACAAAUUUAUCCCAUCUUUUUUUUAUGAUUUUCCGGCACGGGGACUGAUUUCUUUAACACCAUUAAACACAGAUUUUUUAUUUUUAAUCAUAGCUUUAUAGUAUCAUGUUGGCUAAGCUAUAAAUAAGUCAGUUUCUCUAAAAAUUAAAUAACUGAAUGUAAGACAAUCAACAAACCAAAUUUAUACUUCAUCUAAACCACUGUGGUCGUCAUCUUUUUGCUUUUCUUUUUCUUUCUCUCGUUCUUGUUCUUUUUUGUACUCUUCUUCAAAUUCUUUUUCUUUCUUUUCUACUUCUUCUCUUGUUUCCGCUCUAUGAGAAAAAUCUUCGGUUUUAAGUUUACUAAAUUUGAAUGAUUUAGAAUCAACUGUUUUAUCUUCUGAGUAUUUAUGGACAUUUAAAUUAAUAUUUCCAUCACCUCUUAACUCAUAGAUAAACAUGGCUUGUGCAGUUUUGCCUUUUUUAAUUUGAUCUUGGUUAUGUUCUGUCCAAUCUUUAUAUUUUUUAUCACUUAAAAGAUAACCAUCUCUUAAUUUAUUUACUGUAUUUUUAUCAUCUUGAGUGAUAUUAAUAUAGUCAUGAGAAAUAGAAGAUGGAUUUAAAUCUUUAUCGUCUUUUUUAGCAGUAAUUUCCAUUUUAAAAGCGAUAUAUUUCUUUUUCUCAUCUUUUUCAUUGAUGAUAAACGGUUCUUUUAUUUUAGCUUCAAAUUUGUCACUAACAAUAGUAUCGCCUUUAAUUUUUAUAUCCAUAUUUUUUUUGCUUUUAAAUUCUUUAAGUUCUUCAUUUAAUUCUUCAUUGUCAUUUUCUUUCUUUUUGUGACUAGUGCUCUCUUUUUUUGCACUAUCUUGAUGAUGUCCACAAGCACCUAAGAUAAGUGUACUUGCUAAUAAUAUCCCCAUUACUUUUUUCAUUUAACAUGUCUCCUUUAUUUCGCAAAAAUUUAUUUUAAAAACUCUAAAUGACUUAUCAUUUUGAGUAAUUAAACAAAGUUGAUAUUUUGUGAGAUUCUAAGAUGAUAUUAAAUAAUUCUUGUAAUAAUGAUCCUAUGUAUUGUUGCAAUAAAUUAAUGAAACUAUAAUUACUAAUAUUAUAUUACUUUUAUUGAUAGAAAUAUAUUACUUUUUUAAAAAACUUGUAAUAUAUCGAAAGAUUUAAAUGUAAAAUUUUGAUUUGUUAAGAAAUUACGUUUGUAAAAAUAAAAAAAUCAACUUAUUUGUAUGAGAUAAAUAUGUAUUGAAGAAGACGUGUUAUUAAUUUGGAAAAUACUGGUCAAAGAUGGGAGCUCUUAAAAGCGUUAUUGUAUUUUUUAGUCAAUACAAAUAGAUUGCCGUAAUAAUAAUCGUACUUGAUGGUUAAAAAAUUACUUAAGGCUAUAAAGCAAAACUUUUUAUAUGAGCAGUCGAAUAUAACGUUUAAAAUGAUUGUUUUUGGAUAUAAACGAUUAAGUAAAAUGCUUUUUCAGUUUGAAAUUAAUCAUAUAAAUUUCUUAUGGGAGGGUUGAUAUCUUAAUGAUUAACAUUAUUUCAGCUAUAGGAUCUAUUGGAACAUUUAUUAUGGCUUUAUUUUAUUUUGUAUCAGUUUCAGUUCAACUUUAUCAAAUGAAAAUUAGCUUUCUGCCAGCUUUAGGUUUUAACCAAAUUUUAUUAGAAAGGGAGGAGGAUCAACUUAAUAUAAUGAAUUCGGCAACAGAAGAGCAUCAUCAUAAAGAUUAUAUUAAACUAUAUAAUUUAGGUGGCGGUGCUGCUAAAAAAAUUGCAAUAGAGGUUUUAUUGGGGAAGGAUAAAGUCAUUCAGAAAAAAUACGUGCAUAUUUUACCUAGUAAAGAAGGGUACAUGUUACCAAUUAAUAAAAAUGUGUACGAAGAAUUAGAAAGAACGAUUGAGAACAAUGGUCAUGAAGCUGAUUUGAAUGUACGUAUGACUUAUUAUCAUAAUGUAAGUCGCAAACAACAGGAAGUUAUAUUAAAAGGUCAAAUCGACCGUUUUAAUACUUAUAAUAAUAAAGAAAUUUAUGAUUUGCAGUUUAUCUAAAAAUUGAUUUAAGAGGGUAGUUGUUUAUUGCGAAAAAUAUCAUUCAAUUUUAAUGAAAUAAUGGCGUCAUUACUAUAAAAUAUUACUUUAUGUUGUAAUGCAUUUUUCUAUAAGAUAGAACUAAAAGGAGGGGCAAAGAUGCAAAUUAGACAAAUACAUCAACAUGACUUUGCUCAAGUGGACCAGUUAAUUAGAACGGCAUUUGAAAAUAGUGAACAUGGUUAUGGUAAUGAAUCAGAGCUAGUAGACCAAAUUCGUCUAAGUGAUACGUAUGACAAUACCUUAGAAUUAGUAGCUGUUCUUCAAAAUGAAGUUGUAGGGCACGGUUUACUAAGUGAAGUUUAUCUUGAUAACGAGGCACAACGGGAAAUUGGAUUAGUGUUAGCACCUGUAUCUGUUGAUAUUCAUCAUCAAAAUAAAGGUAUUGGGAAGCGAUUGAUUCAAGCAUUAGAACGAGAAGCAAUAUUAAAAGGAUAUAAUUUUAUCAGUGUAUUAGGAUGGCCGACGUAUUAUGCCAAUCUAGGAUAUCAACGCGCAAGUAUGUACGACAUUUAUCCACCAUAUGAUGGUAUACCAGACGAAGCGUUUUUAAUUAAAGAAUUAAAAGUGAACAGUUUAGCGGGAAAAACAGGUACCAUAAAUUACACAUCUGCUUUUGAAAAAAUAUGAUUUCAAGCUAGGAUUACAUUAGGUAGAGUUCAUAUUAAUAAUAAAAAAUGUUUGCAAUCAAAUCGUACGUUGUCGUUUGUAAUUCUUAAAAUAGCAAUAAAUAAAAUGUUUGUUAGUAAAGUAUUAUUGUGGAUAAUAAAAUAUCGAUACAAAUUAAUUGCUAUAAUGCAAUUUUAGUGUAUAAUUCCAUUAACAGAGAUUAAAUAUAUCUUUAAAGGGUAUAUAGUUAAUAUAAAAUGACUUUUUAAAAAGAGGGAAUAAAAUGAAUAUGAAGAAAAAAGAAAAACACGCAAUUCGGAAAAAAUCGAUUGGCGUGGCUUCAGUGCUUGUAGGUACGUUAAUCGGUUUUGGACUACUCAGCAGUAAAGAAGCAGAUGCAAGUGAAAAUAGUGUUACGCAAUCUGAUAGCGCAAGUAACGAAAGCAAAAGUAAUGAUUCAAGUAGCGUUAGUGCUGCACCUAAAACAGACGACACAAACGUGAGUGAUACUAAAACAUCGUCAAACACUAAUAAUGGCGAAACGAGUGUGGCGCAAAAUCCAGCACAACAGGAAACGACACAAUCAUCAUCAACAAAUGCAACUACGGAAGAAACGCCGGUAACUGGUGAAGCUACUACUACGACAACGAAUCAAGCUAAUACACCGGCAACAACUCAAUCAAGCAAUACAAAUGCGGAGGAAUUAGUGAAUCAAACAAGUAAUGAAACGACUUCUAAUGAUACUAAUACAGUAUCAUCUGUAAAUUCACCUCAAAAUUCUACAAAUGCGGAAAAUGUUUCAACAACGCAAGAUACUUCAACUGAAGCAACACCUUCAAACAAUGAAUCAGCUCCACAGAGUACAGAUGCAAGUAAUAAAGAUGUAGUUAAUCAAGCGGUUAAUACAAGUGCGCCUAGAAUGAGAGCAUUUAGUUUAGCGGCAGUAGCUGCAGAUGCACCGGCAGCUGGCACAGAUAUUACGAAUCAGUUGACGAAUGUGACAGUUGGUAUUGACU